UUACUUUCAACGUACUUCUUGCAUCAUUCGGUUAGUUUGAAUGAAGAGGAUGAUAAUGGUGGUAUUUGUGUUUUUCUUGUUAAAAUUUAGUGACAGUCAAGAAUUACGGACUUAAAUGAAAUAAAUAAAACGAACGUGCUUUCGUACAAUUUCAUCACACCGUGUUUGUGACCUUUGCAUCGAGUAUACGUUAUAUGCUCCUUAAGUUUCACGAGCGGUACUGAGACAAGUAUUCCAAUAGAUAAUUCGACGUCGAAUAAAAUCCUUAAAUGAUCGCCGUGCCGACCGACAAGAAGGAGGAGGCCUUCGACGAAUCUUGGUGCUGGCUGGAGAGGCGAUCGUACAUGUUCUUAGAGCGUAAGGAGCGAUUGUUGUCGGCAAUGGGCCGUUGUCGCAAUGGGAAGUCUCCUCUUGCAACCGGCACUAAAUCGUUUCGCUUCGGCACGUAGCAAGAGUCAGAAGCGGUCCCAGUCGAGCGUUUCGCCGGAACCUAUCUCAUUUCUCGAUCGUACGAUCGCACCAAAAGACGGAUAUCUUUAAUUUCUAAUAACGAAUCUUCGAGGGAAUCCAAGAGAUAUAAAUAUCGGAUAAGAAUGAAACGACGACGAGAAGAAAAGAAAGAAAAAUAAGGAACUCCGCCGUGCCGCUUGACGAGAAUCAUUUGAAAUUCCCGCUCUACGUUUCGAUUGGUCCCCAGGAACGAGAAGCUGUAUAUCGACCUUCGGCCCUUUUCGAUUGUGACGUAGCGACGACAGCGCCGGUCGGUAAAGUUGCACCAUAACGAUAACUCGCAACCGACUUUCAUCGAUGUUUUUCGGUCGAUACGGCCGGUCUCUUGAUCGGAGUCUCCAGGAUUGGCCACCGUCGUGGCGUCGGUAGCGCCAACGACGAGAUCCGACGCAGCGCGCGCGCUCGGUACCUUGCCCGUCGACCGGCCUUGCAAGGCUGCAGGCCAUCGAACUCUUGCCCUACUGCCGCGCCACGUAAUACCACCCGUACGCGAUGCGCAAGAACGAGGAUAACCGACACGACUCGCGCGCCCCUUCCUCGUUGUUCGCUCGCUCAUUCUCGCUCGUUCGUUCGUUCGUUCGUUCGUUCGUUCGUUCGUUCGUUCGUUCGCUAGCUCGCAUAAAGGGGGGAAAAAAAGGAGGGAGCGGCUUGAACACGAUACAGGAACGAAAGCCCAGGGCCGUACGCGUUGUCUUCUACCUUCUCCUCUCCUCGAUUUUACGAUCGGAUCGAUCUCCUCCACCCUUUCUUCCUCUCUGAUAUUUCCCA
Molecule: long non-coding RNA, 1278 nt
Organism: Vespa velutina
Lineage: Eukaryota; Metazoa; Arthropoda; Insecta; Hymenoptera; Vespidae
Exons: 3
Source: RefSeq, a predicted model, not a curated record